RNAcentral lists this ribosomal RNA (374 nucleotides) under uncultured organism. RNAcentral describes it as "partial 16S ribosomal RNA". It matches the Rfam family "Bacterial small subunit ribosomal RNA", at positions 527 to 896 of the family's 1533-position model. The record is from RNAcentral.
GUAGGUGGCAAGCGUUGUCCGGAAUUAUUGGGCGUAAAGCGCGCGCAGGUGGUUCUUUAAGUCUGAUGUGAAAGCCCCCGGCUCAACCGGGGAGGGUCAUUGGAAACUGGGGAACUUGAGUGCAGGAGAGGAAAGUGGAAUUCCACGUGUAGCGGUGGAAUGCGUAGAUAUGUGGAGGAACACCAGUGGCGAAGGCGACUUUCUGGCCUGUAACUGACACUGAGGCGCGAAAGCGUGGGGAGCAAACAGGGAUUAGAUACCCUGGUAGUCCACGCCGUAAACGAUGAGUGCUAAGUGUUGGGGGGGUUUCCCGCCCCUCAGUGCUGCAGCUAACGCAUUAAGCACUCCGCCUGGGGAGUACGGUCGCAAGACUG